GAAAAUCUGUCCUCUUUCUUGUAUCCCAGUAUUUCACAGAAGCAGCAGCUCCCACAGCCACUGAGACCAGGACCAGGAGAUGAGGACAGACAUGCCUGGUGGACGUGAAGUCCAUCAACCCCAGGACCUUAUCAGGAGGUCUGCCCUCAACCUGCUGGGAACUCCUCCUCCAAGCAGCUCUGCUCCAAGCCCAGGCACAUCAUCCUGAUAAUCCCCGGUGACAUGGUGAACCUGGAGGACAUUAUGCCAGAUGAAAAAAGUCAAGCAUGAAAGACAAAUGCCUCACCAUCUGACUCAGGCCCCCUUACUGCAUCUAGACUGCAUCAAGCAUGUGUCUGCCUCAAGAUCUUUGUACAGUUUCCUCUGCCUGGAGGACUCAUCUCUGGACAUACUCCCAGUUUCUCAACUCAAGACUGAAGUCACCGCGUUAGCCUGCACAGUCACGACCACAGCCUUCCCCAGCCUACCCUUGCCUUUGCUAUACAUUUAUUAUUCCCCAUCAUGCUUCACUCCUAUACAAUUUAUUUGUAUAAUACAUGGAAGCAGGAAGACUUAUGGGGCUCCUCCCUCUCGAAGGUUCUAUAGGUAUUUGGUGGUUACCAGGAGAGGGUAAAAAUUAUUUUUUUAGCUGUGUAGUCACUGGUAAGUUCUCCAUGCUUCUGGAUAUAACCUCUCACUCAUACUCUUGAAAGCCACCCUAAUAAAACAUACUGGGGACACAAAAGUAAACAUGAGAGUAGACAGGGCUGGUUAGAAAUGAGAGAGGAAUUCUUUUUUUUUUAAGUUUAUUUUAUUUUUUUAAUUUAUUAUA
Onychomys torridus (southern grasshopper mouse) is the source of this 811-nucleotide long non-coding RNA. RefSeq lists it as uncharacterized. The record is from RefSeq and is a predicted model, not a curated record. The transcript is spliced from 3 exons. Lineage: Eukaryota; Metazoa; Chordata; Mammalia; Rodentia; Cricetidae.